This 497-nucleotide ribosomal RNA is filed under the name uncultured bacterium. RNAcentral describes it as "partial 16S ribosomal RNA". It matches the Rfam family "Bacterial small subunit ribosomal RNA", at positions 28 to 507 of the family's 1533-position model. The record is from RNAcentral.
GAUGAACGCUGGCGGCGUGCCUAAUACAUGCAAGUCGAGCGAACGGACGAGGAGCUUGCUUCUCUGAUGUUAGCGGCGGACGGGUGAGUAACACGUGGAUAACCUACCUAUAAGACUGGGGUAACUUCGGGAAACCGGAUCUAAUACCGGAUAAUAUUUUGAACCUCAUGGUUCAAAAGUGAAAGACGGUCUUGCUGUCACUUAUAGAUGGAUCCGCGCUGCAUUAGCUAGUUGGUAAGGUAACGGCCUACCAAGGCAACGAUGCAUAGCCGACCUGAGAGGGUGAUCGGCCACACUGGAACUGAGACACGGUCCAGACUCCUACGGGAGGCAGCAGUAGGGAAUCUUCCGCAAUGGGCGAAAGCCUGACGGAGCAACGCCGCGUGAGUGAUGAAGGUCUUCGGAUCGUAAAACUCUGUUAUUAGGGAAGAACAUAUGUGUAAGUAACUGUGCACAUCUUGACGGUACCUAAUCAGAAAGCCACGGCUAACUACGUG